This 468-nucleotide ribosomal RNA is filed under the name uncultured bacterium. Its description in RNAcentral is "partial 16S ribosomal RNA". It matches the Rfam family "Bacterial small subunit ribosomal RNA", at positions 28 to 507 of the family's 1533-position model. The record is from RNAcentral.
GACGAACGCUGGCGGCGUGCCUAACACAUGCAAGUCGAACGGAAAGGCCCUGCUUUUGUGGGGUGCUCGAGUGGCGAACGGGUGAGUAACACGUGAGUAACCUGCCCUUGACUUUGGGAUAACUUCAGGAAACUGGGGCUAAUACCGGAUAGGAGCUCCUGCUGCAUGGUGGGGGUUGGAAAGUUUCGGCGGUUGGGGAUGGACUCGCGGCUUAUCAGCUUGUUGGUGGGGUAGUGGCUUACCAAGGCUUUGACGGGUAGCCGGCCUGAGAGGGUGACCGGCCACAUUGGGACUGAGAUACGGCCCAGACUCCUACGGGAGGCAGCAGUGGGGAAUAUUGCACAAUGGGCGGAAGCCUGAUGCAGCAACGCCGCGUGCGGGAUGACGGCCUUCGGGUUGUAAACCGCUUUCGCCUGUGACGAAGCGUGAGCGACGGUAAUGGGUAAAGAAGCACCGGCUAACUACGUG